This 324-nucleotide small nuclear RNA is filed under the name Felis catus (domestic cat). RNAcentral describes it as "7SK RNA". It matches the Rfam family "7SK RNA". Rfam says of the family: 7SK was discovered as an abundant small nuclear RNA in the mid-70s but a possible function has only recently been suggested. Two independent studies have found that 7SK RNA binds the CDK9/cyclin T complex (known as elongation factor P-TEFb). The record is from Rfam by way of RNAcentral. Lineage: Eukaryota; Metazoa; Chordata; Mammalia; Carnivora; Felidae.
AGGUGUAAGGGUAAUCUGGUUGUAUUGUCUGUCACUCUACUGAUCACCAGGGUUGAUUCAGCUGAUCUGACUUGGCUGGCUGGGUGGAUCCCCUUCCUCCCUUGCUGCUCCAUGUGCACCCUCCCCACACUGCACGUGCAAUCAAAGAGGACCACCUUCCCCACUAGAGAAGAGCCGUUCCUCAGUCAAGGGUAUACAAAUGGCUGUACUGGAACCUCCAAACAAGCUCUUGAGGUCCAUGUGCAGCACAACAUAGGGCAGUCAAAUUUCCGGACUCCAGACAAUUCCAAAUGAGAUGCUGCAUGUGGCAGGCUGCCUUUCUUA